GUGUGAAUUGCAGAAUCCCGUGAACCAUCGAGUCUUUGAACGCAAGUUGCGCCCGAUGCCAUUAGGUUGAGGGCACGUCUGCCUGGGUGUCACAUAUCGAAGCCUCCUGCCAAUUUCCUUUUGACAGGUAUUGUGCAGGGUGGAUGUUGGCCUCCCGUGAGCUCUUCCGUCUCAUGGUUGGUUGAAAAUUGAGACCUUGGUAGGGUGUGCCAUGAUAAAUGGUGGUUGUGUGACCCACGAGACCAAUCAUGCGCUGCUCUAUUGAAUUUGGCCUCUUUUACCCAUAUGCGUGUUUCUAAACGCUCGUGAUGAGACCUCAGGUCAGGCGGGGCUACCCGCUGAAUUUAAGCAUAUCAAUAAGCGGAGGAAAAGAAACUAACAAGGAUUCCCUUAGUAACGGCGAGCGAACCGGGAUAAGCCCACCAUGAGAAUCGGUCGCCCUCGGCGUUCGAAUUGUAGUCUGAAGAAAGCGUCAA
RNAcentral lists this ribosomal RNA (476 nucleotides) under Lathyrus sativus (Indian pea). RNAcentral describes it as "eukaryotic LSU rRNA". The stretch from base 312 to 476 matches the Rfam family "Eukaryotic large subunit ribosomal RNA", at positions 1 to 165 of the family's 3401-position model. The record is from RNAcentral. Lineage: Eukaryota; Viridiplantae; Streptophyta; Magnoliopsida; Fabales; Fabaceae.